This 303-nucleotide unclassified non-coding RNA is filed under the name Hevea brasiliensis (rubber tree). The record is from RNAcentral. Lineage: Eukaryota; Viridiplantae; Streptophyta; Magnoliopsida; Malpighiales; Euphorbiaceae.
GGCAGGUCACUGAUUUCUGGAAGUAGUUGGUAUUCCAUUUGCGCAGUCCAAAUGAUGGAACUUCAUUGAAGCUCCUUUUAAUAUGGAAUCAUUUGCAUUACACUCCUAAAGUUAGUUGUUGAUAUGGAAGCAUUUCAUGGCCUAAGCUCUCUGCAGGUUGGUAAGAUAUGCUAUUUUAUUGAAAGAAUUGAGGUAUGAGCUAGGGAUAAUAGUUGCUAAUAUUGACUUAUGAAUUAACUUGGUGUUGAAAACAUGGUGGCCAUGCUUGCUGUUGAGUGGUUUAUUGUUUAAGCAACAAGGAAG